Long non-coding RNA from Mytilus californianus (California mussel), 778 nucleotides. RefSeq lists it as uncharacterized. The record is from RefSeq and is a predicted model, not a curated record. The transcript has 3 exons. NCBI's taxonomy places the organism in Eukaryota, Metazoa, Mollusca, Bivalvia, Mytilida, Mytilidae.
CUAGAGGCUCUCAAGAGCCUGUGUCGCUCACCUGACUCUACUUUGGUUUUAGAAAUCAUGUAAAGAUAGAUAAAAAUCAUAACAGAUACCCAAAUAAUGAUUGAGGCCAAAUUUUGAUUAAUAUUGGUCCCGUUAUUUAAUAAAAUAUCCUGGUGGCCAUCUUGAACAGUAAAUCGGCAACAAAGUAGCAACACUUGGUCAGCACUUCAUAAGGAACAUUCAUGCCAUGUUUGGUUUCAUUCCAUUCAGUGGUACUCUAAAAGAAGACAUUUGUAUGAAUUUCCCAUAGGUCCUUUGUUAAACUAAGUCCCCUGCUGUCGGCCAUCUUGGAUGAUGGACUGACUGCAAAGUAACAACACUUGGUCAGUACCUCAUAAGGAACAUUCAUGCCAUGUUUGGUUUCAUUCCAUUCAGUGGUUCGCUAAAAGAAGACAUUUGUAUGUAUUUCCCAUAGGGUCCUAUGUUAAACUAAGUCCCCCGCUGGCGGCCAUCUUGGAUGAUGGAUCGGCUACAAAGUAACAACACUUGGUCAGCACCUCAUAAGGAACAUUCAUGCCAUGUUUGGUUUCAUUCCAUUCAGUGGUUCUCUAAAAGAAGACAUUUGUAUGUAUUUCCCAUAGGGUCCUAUGUUAAACUAAGUUCCCCGAUGGUGGCCAUCUUGGAUGAUGGAUCGGCUACAAAGUAACAAGACAUGGUCAGCACCUCAUAAGGAACAUUUAUGCCAUGUUUGGUUUUAUUCCAUUCAGUGGUUCUCUAAAAGAAGUCAUUUGUAUGCAUU